Molecule: ribosomal RNA, 495 nt
Filed under: uncultured bacterium
Lineage: Bacteria
Description: partial 16S ribosomal RNA
Rfam family: Bacterial small subunit ribosomal RNA
Source: RNAcentral
GACGAACGCUGGCGGCGUGCCUAAUACAUGCAAGUAGAACGCUGAAGGAGGAGCUUGCUCUUCUGGAUGAGUUGCGAACGGGUGAGUAACGCGUAGGUAACCUGCCUGGUAGCGGGGGAUAACUAUUGGAAACGAUAGCUAAUACCGCAUAACAGUAGAUGUUGCAUGACAUUUACUUAAAAGGUGCAAUUGCAUCACUACCAGAUGGACCUGCGUUGUAUUAGCUAGUUGGUGGGGUAACGGCUCACCAAGGCGACGAUACAUAGCCGACCUGCGAGGGUGAUCGGCCACACUGGGACUGAGACACGGCCCAGACUCCUACGGGAGGCAGCAGUAGGGAAUCUUCGGCAAUGGACGGAAGUCUGACCGAGCAACGCCGCGUGAGUGAAGAAGGUUUUCGGAUCGUAAAGCUCUGUUGUAAGAGAAGAACGAGUGUGGGAGUGGAAAGUUCACACUGUGACGGUAUCUUACCAGAAAGGGACGGCUAACUACGUG